CUAGUCCUACGGGAGGCAGCAGUCGGGAAUAUUGCGCAAUGGAGGAAACUCUGACGCAGUGACGCCGCGUAUAGGAAGAAGGUUUUCGGAUUGUAAACUAUUGUCGUUAGGGAAGAAAAAAGACAGUACCUAAGGAGGAAGCUCCGGCUAACUACGUGCCAGCAGCCGCGGUAAUACGUAGGGAGCAAGCGUUAUCCGGAUUUACUGGGUGUAAAGGGCGUGUAGGCGGGCCUGCAAGUCAGAAGUGAAAUCUGGGGGCUUAACCCCCAAACUGCUUUCGAAACUGUGGGUCUUGAGUGAUGGAG
Molecule: ribosomal RNA, 305 nt
Filed under: uncultured bacterium
Lineage: Bacteria
Description: bacterial SSU rRNA
Rfam family: Bacterial small subunit ribosomal RNA
Source: RNAcentral